AGUGAACGCUGGCGGUAGACCUAACACAUGCAAGUCGAACGGCAGCACAGUAAGAGCUUGCUCUUACGGGUGGCGAGUGGCGGACGGGUGAGGAAUACAUCGGAAUCUACUUUUUCGUGGGGGAUAACGUAGGGAAACUUACGCUAAUACCGCAUACGACCUACGGGUGAAAGCAGGGGAUCUUCGGACCUUGCGCGAUUGAAUGAGCCGAUGUCGGAUUAGCUAGUUGGCGGGGUAAAGGCCCACCAAGGCGACGAUCCGUAGCUGGUCUGAGAGGAUGAUCAGCCACACUGGAACUGAGACACGGUCCAGACUCCUACGGGAGGCAGCAGUGGGGAAUAUUGGACAAUGGGCGCAAGCCUGAUCCAGCCAUACCGCGUGGGUGAAGAAGGCCUUCGGGUUGUAAAGCCCUUUUGUUGGGAAAGAAAAGCAGCAGGUUAAUACCCCGCUGUUCUGACGGUACCCGAAGAAUAAGCACCGGCUAACUUCGUG
RNAcentral lists this ribosomal RNA (492 nucleotides) under uncultured bacterium. RNAcentral describes it as "partial 16S ribosomal RNA". It matches the Rfam family "Bacterial small subunit ribosomal RNA", at positions 29 to 507 of the family's 1533-position model. The record is from RNAcentral.